This 441-nucleotide ribosomal RNA is filed under the name uncultured bacterium. Its description in RNAcentral is "partial 16S ribosomal RNA". It matches the Rfam family "Bacterial small subunit ribosomal RNA", at positions 338 to 795 of the family's 1533-position model. The record is from RNAcentral.
CCUACGGGGGGCAGCAGUGGGGAAUAUUGGGCAAUGGGCGCAAGCCUGACCCAGCAAUGCCGCGUGAAGGAAGAAGGCUUUCGGGUUGUAAACUUCUUUGACCGGGGAAGAGCAGAAGACGGUACCCUGAACACAAGCCACGGCUAACUACGUGCCAGCAGCCGCGGUAAUACAUAGGUGGCAAGCGUUGUCCGGAUUUAGUGGGGGUAAGGGCGUGUAGCCGGGAAGGCAAGUCAGAUGUGAAAUCUGGAGGCUCAACCUCCAAAUUGCAUUUGAAACUGUUUUUCUGGAGUACGGGAGAGGCAGACGGAAUUCCUUGUGUAGCGGUGAAAUGCGUAGAUAUAAGGAGGUACACCAGUGGCGAAGGCGGUCUGCUGGACAGCAACUGACGGUGAGGCGCGAAAGCGUGGGGAGCAAACAGGAUUAGAUACCCCAGUAGUC